RNAcentral lists this long non-coding RNA (1271 nucleotides) under Physcomitrium patens. RNAcentral describes it as "long non-coding RNA (PPAT_LNC010385)". The record is from RNAcentral. Lineage: Eukaryota; Viridiplantae; Streptophyta; Bryopsida; Funariales; Funariaceae.
AUAUAUAUAUGCACACAUAUAAAUAGACAUUUAAAUUUAUUUUCUUGUUUUAAUUUUUAAUAAGGAAUUAAUCAUUUAAAAAUUGUGUUUGAAUACUAUUUGAUUUAUAUAAAUUAUAAAAUUAUAAAAUUGAAAUCAAGUCUAUUAUGCAGUCGAUACAAAAGCAUUCAUCAACAUCUCUAAGUUGCAUUUUGAAGUAAAGUCAAAUCCAAAGAAAUAUUUUUGACACACACAAGGAAAAAGUGAUGAAGAAAAAAAAAAAUACUGUAUACAAUAAUUAUAGUUAUAAUUAUAUAUAUAUAUAUAUAUAUAUCACUCUGAAUAAAACCCAAUAUGCUGAAAUAAGUGAGAGCAUAAGUUAAAUAUACCUUGAUUAUUUAGAUAAAUCAAAAGAUGUAUAAAAAAUCACUAUUAAUCAUUGUUUAUAAUUAGAAAAAAAUAAUUUUAUGUUUUAAGAAUAUAAUAAAUAAAUAUAUUUUACUUGUUCUCAUUAUGAUUUUCUAUUCUCAUGAUUCGAAUCUUCAACCUCAUGAAAUAAAUCGCUCAUCUUGGAUAUUGUCUUUUUAAUUAAUAAUAAUCACAUUUUAAUUUGAAUUCAGCAGGAUUUUUACAUAUAUUUUGGAUAGUAUCAAAAUAUUAGUGUGUGAAGUAAAAAAAACCUGUUUUUCUUGAAGACUCACAACAACAAAAAAAAGUUAUAAUGAGGUGAUGUCAAGUACAAAAAAAUAAAUUUAAGCAAAAUAAUUUACUUCUUCAAAACGAGCAAAAUAAUGUAAAUAAGAUUAGAACCAUUAAAAAAAAUGUAAGUAACAAAUAUAACUAUGAGAGAUAAUUUAGCACACCUUUUAUUAUUAUUAUUGUUAUUAUUAUUACCCUUGUUCUCUUAUGGAAUCAACACUUUAUAUUUUCUUAAAGGAUUUUGAAUUUGUACUUUCUCAUUCUAUCUUGAAAUAAUUUUACUAAUAAAGGUUACAAAAGUUAAAGUUAUAAAGACGUAAUUCUAACAAUAAAUGUCAAAGUAAUUUUUUUCAAUAAUAGUUUUACUGAUAUUAAACCAAUAAAAUUAAAAAAAAAUCUUUUCUUUAAUAUUGAUUUGCAAGUGUAGUUGGUAUUAUUUUAGAAACUAAUACAAGUAAUUUUAUUAAUAAUUUUAUCAUUUUGAAAGAAGUACAAGUAAAAUUCUAAAUAAAUUAUUGGAGUGAGUAUAUUCACACAUGCAUACACAUAUCAUUUGAUAUUGCACAAAAAAAUAUUUAUUUAUUGAGAAAUAU